This 162-nucleotide unclassified non-coding RNA is filed under the name uncultured Herpotrichiellaceae. RNAcentral describes it as "sequence contains ITS1". Lineage: Eukaryota; Fungi; Ascomycota; Eurotiomycetes; Chaetothyriales; Herpotrichiellaceae. The record is from RNAcentral.
CCGAGUUAGGGUCUUAUAGGCCCAACCUCCAACCCUUUGUUUACUAUACCAUGUUGCUUUGGUGGGGCCGCCGGGGGCUUUCACGCCCCUGGUCAGUGCCCGCCAGUAGCCUUACUAAAUUCUUUUAUAAUUAUGUUGUCUGAGUCUAAAUAUAAAUCGUUA